AUGGAAGUGAUAAAGAAAGCUAACGCAGAUGGUAAGGGUGAUAAGAAGAAAAAGAAGAGAAAGGAAGGGAUUGAAGGAGGGAAAAGGGAGAAAGAAAAGGCAGCUCGAUCAAAGAACAAGGGUAGGCGGGUGACGUUUGCAGAUUCAGUGGUGGUUUUUAGCAUCGAAGGUCGUGAUGAUGAAGAGGGUGGAAGCAGUGGUGGGUCUGAACUUGUACAUGGACAGCGGUUUACCCUAGAAGAAGAAGCCACCCUCAUGGAAGCGAUGAGGGAUUAUGCAGAGAUGAAGCAGCUGGGAGAGGAAGGCUUAGAGAUGAUUCGUCGCUGUAGAAAAUACCCAGAGCUGAAGGGUUGUUGGAGUGAUAUAGGGAAAUCGUUACCCCAUAGACCCCACGAGGCAAUUUACAAGCGGGCACGUAUAUUACUCACUAGAAGUGAUGAGCGUAAAUGGACACAGGAAGAAUAUCACAAGAUACGACAGUUUGUCGAAAAAAAUGGCACGGACUGGAAGGCAUUGUCAGAGGAACUUGGUAAGAGUGAGAUCCAUGUUAAAGAUACUUGGAGAAGAAUAAAGCCUAAGAACUUGAAAAAGGGGAGAUGGACCCAGGAUGAGCACCAAAACUUGUUUGAUUUGGUGAAUCUUGACCUGCGUCUGAAAGCCCAUCAGGAGAAAAAUCCUGGGCAUCGUAAGCUAAGAGAUAACAUUUCCUGGGAGGCCAUCAGUGACAAAUUGACCAGCCGUAAUCACAAGAAUUGCUGCCUGAAGUGGUAUGUCACAUUAGCAUCUCCACUGGUUAAGCAAGGAGUAUGGGCGGAUAUUGAUGAUUAUCGACUGGUGGAAGCGCUUCAAAAGGUUGAUGCUGUUUGCAUUGAAGAUGUUGAUUGGGAGAGCCUUCUCGGUCACAGAUCAGGGGAGGUUUGUCGUCAAAGAUGGAACCAGAUGGUCCGUGGCAUUGGUAGCCACAGACAGAAGACUUUCAUCGAACAAGUGGAAGUGCUGUCGAAGCGUUACUGCCCAGAAAUGAUUGACUACAGGGAAUCAGAAAAUUAG
This 1050-nucleotide ribosomal RNA is filed under the name Triticum aestivum (bread wheat). RNAcentral describes it as "partial small subunit ribosomal RNA". The record is from RNAcentral. Lineage: Eukaryota; Viridiplantae; Streptophyta; Magnoliopsida; Poales; Poaceae.